UGGGGAAUUUUGGACAAUGGGGGCAACCCUGAUCCAGCCAUUCCGCGUGAGUGAAGAAGGCCUUCGGGUUGUAAAGCUCUUUCAGCAGGAACGAAACGGUCGGCUUUAAUAAAGUCGGCUAAUGACGGUACCUGCAGAAGAAGCACCGGCUAACUACGUGCCAGCAGCCGCGGUAAUACGUAGGGUGCGAGCGUUAAUCGGAAUUACUGGGCGUAAAGCGUGCGCAGGCGGCGACAUAAGACAGAUGUGAAAUCCCCGGGCUCAACCUGGGAACUGCGUUUGUGACUGUGUUGCUAGAGUGUAGCAGAGGGGGGUGGAAUUCCACGUGUAGCAGUGAAAUGCGUAGAGAUGUGGAGGAACACCGAUGGCGAAGGCAGCCCCCUGGGUUAACACUGACGCUCAUGCACGAAAGCGUGGGGAGCAAACAGGAUUAGAUACCCCCGUAGUCCCUGAGCGGGCUGGCAAGGCGCAU
RNAcentral lists this ribosomal RNA (472 nucleotides) under uncultured bacterium. Its description in RNAcentral is "bacterial SSU rRNA". It matches the Rfam family "Bacterial small subunit ribosomal RNA", at positions 355 to 825 of the family's 1533-position model. The record is from RNAcentral.